UACUACGAGCGGCGGACGGCUGAGUAACACGUUGGAAUCUGCCCCGAACUCAGGAAUAACACACCGAAAGGUGUGCUAAUACCGGAUAGUCCCGCAAGGGUAAAGCUUUUGCGGUUCGGGAGGAUCCUGCGGCCUAUCAGUUAGUUGGUGAGGUAAUGGCUCACCAAGACGAUGACGGGUAGCUGGUCUGAGAGGAUGAUCAGCCAGACUGGGACUGAGACACGGCCCAG
This 230-nucleotide ribosomal RNA is filed under the name uncultured bacterium. RNAcentral's name for it is "partial 16S ribosomal RNA". It matches the Rfam family "Bacterial small subunit ribosomal RNA", at positions 87 to 334 of the family's 1533-position model. The record is from RNAcentral.